RNAcentral lists this ribosomal RNA (250 nucleotides) under uncultured bacterium. RNAcentral's name for it is "partial 16S ribosomal RNA". It matches the Rfam family "Bacterial small subunit ribosomal RNA", at positions 524 to 773 of the family's 1533-position model. The record is from RNAcentral.
UACAGAGGCCUCGAGCGUUAAUCGGAAUUACUGGGCUUAAAGGGUGCGUAGGCGGAGCGAUAAGUGCCUUGUGAAAUCCCAUGGCUCAACCAUGGAAUUGCUCGGUAGACUAUCGUUCUUGAGGUAGGUAGGGGUCACUGGAACUCUAGGUGGAGCGGUGAAAUGCGUAGAUAUCUAGAGGAACGCCGAUGGUGAAGACAGGUGACUGGGCCUAUUCUGACGCUGAUGCACGAAAGCGUGGGGAGCAAAC